UACGGAGGGAGCUAGCGUUGUUCGGAUAUACUGGGCGUAAAGGGCGCGUAGGCGGCCCGUCAAGUCCCGUGUGAAAGCCCCCGGCUCAACCGGGGAACUGCACGGGAAACUAGCAGGCUUGAGUUCGGGAGAGGGAAGCGGAAUUUCGGGUGUAGCGGUGAAAUGCGCAGAUAUCCGAAGGAACACCGGUGGCGAAGGCGGCUUCCUGGACCGACACUGACGCUGAGGCGCGAAAGCUAGGGGAGCAAACGGG
Molecule: ribosomal RNA, 253 nt
Filed under: uncultured bacterium
Lineage: Bacteria
Description: partial 16S ribosomal RNA
Rfam family: Bacterial small subunit ribosomal RNA
Source: RNAcentral